This 216-nucleotide ribosomal RNA is filed under the name Triticum aestivum (bread wheat). RNAcentral's name for it is "partial small subunit ribosomal RNA". The record is from RNAcentral. Lineage: Eukaryota; Viridiplantae; Streptophyta; Magnoliopsida; Poales; Poaceae.
GUGGAGGCAGCCCUGCAGGAGCUGCAGAGCAGCCGGUUGCACUCGGACGACGCCGGGAUCGGGGCUGCGGAAGCCUGGAAGGCCUACCUCAUGGCUAAGAAGGCCAAGCUGGACGAGACCCUGGUUGCAGCCCGCCAGUUCAGAGCACUGCUUCAGCAGCAGCUCCAGAAAGCCUUCGCGUCACAGGUUAGGGAUCAAAAGGCAGCACAAAACUGA